GGCUCAGGAUGAACGCUAGCUACAGGCUUAACACAUGCAAGUCGAGGGGCAGCAUGGUCUUAGCUUGCUAAGGCCGAUGGCGACCGGCGCACGGGUGAGUAACGCGUAUCCAACCUGCCUUACACUCUUGGACAGCCUUCUGAAAGGGAGAUUAAUACAAGAUGUUAUCAUGAGUAAGCAUUUUCGCAUGAUUAAAGGUUUACCGGUGUAAGAUGGGGAUGCGUUCCAUUAGAUAGUAGGCGGGGUAACGGCCCACCUAGUCUUCGAUGGAUAGGGGUUCUGAGAGGAAGGUCCCCCACAUUGGAACUGAGACACGGUCCAAACUCCUACGGGAGGCAGCAGUGAGGAAUAUUGGUCAAUGGACGAGAGUCUGAACCAGCCAAGUAGCGUGAAGGAUGAAGGUUCUAUGGAUUGUAAACUUCUUUUAUACGGGAAUAAACGGAUCCACGUGUGGAUUUUUGCAUGUACCGUAUGAAUAAGGAUCGGCUAACUCCGUGCCAGCAGCCGCGGUAAUACGGAGGAUCCGAGCGUUAUCCGGAUUUAUUGGGUUUAAAGGGAGCGUAGAUGGGUUGUUAAGUCAGUUGUGAAAGUUUGCGGCUCAACCGUAAAAUUGCAAUUGAUACUGGCAGUCUUGAGUACAGUUGAGGUAGGCGGAAUUCGUGGUGUAGCGGUGAAAUGCUUAGAUAUCACGAAGAACUCCGAUUGCGAAGGCAGCUUACUAACCUGUAACUGACAUUGAUGCUCGAAAGUGUGGGUAUCAAACAGGAUUAGAUACCCUGGUAGUCCACACGGUAAACGAUGAAUACUCGCUGUAGGCGAUAUACAGUCUGCGGCCAAGCGAAAGCAUUAAGUAUUCCACCUGGGGAGUACGCCGGCAACGGUGAAACUCAAAGGAAUUGACGGGGGCCCGCACAAGCGGAGGAACAUGUGGUUUAAUUCGAUGAUACGCGAGGAACCUUACCCGGGCUUAAAUUGCAACCGAAUAUGGCGGAAACGCUAUAGCUAGCAAUAGCGGUUGUGAAGGUGCUGCAUGGUUGUCGUCAGCUCGUGCCGUGAGGUGUCGGCUUAAGUGCCAUAACGAGCGCAACCCUUGCCGAUAGUUACUAACAGGUCAUGCUGAGGACUCUGUCGGGACUGCCAUCGUAAGAUGUGAGGAAGGUGGGGAUGACGUCAAAUCAGCACGGCCCUUACGUCCGGGGCUACACACGUGUUACAAUGGGGGGUACAGAGGGCUGCUACCACGCAAGUGGAUGCCAAUCCCAAAAACCUCUCUCAGUUCGGAUUGAAGUCUGCAACCCGACUUCAUGAAGCUGGAUUCGCUAGUAAUCGCGCAUCAGCCACGGCGCGGUGAAUACGUUCCCGGGCCUUGUACACACCGCCCGUCAAGCCAUGGGAGCCGGGGGUACCUGAAGUGCGUAACCGCAAGGAGCGCCCUAGGGUAAAACUGGU
This 1449-nucleotide ribosomal RNA is filed under the name uncultured organism. RNAcentral's name for it is "SSU rRNA". It matches the Rfam family "Bacterial small subunit ribosomal RNA". The record is from RNAcentral.